Molecule: small nucleolar RNA, 107 nt
Filed under: Cephalotus follicularis
Lineage: Eukaryota; Viridiplantae; Streptophyta; Magnoliopsida; Oxalidales; Cephalotaceae
Description: Plant small nucleolar RNA R71
Rfam family: Plant small nucleolar RNA R71
About the family: R71 is a member of the C/D box family of snoRNAs containing the C (UGAUGA) and D (CUGA) box motifs. Multiple nearly identical copies of this snoRNA have been identified in Arabidopsis, and it is thought to function as a 2'-O-ribose methylation guide for 18S ribosomal RNA.
Source: Rfam by way of RNAcentral
AAACCAUGAUGAGGACACACUAAGAGGAGGUCUUUGAAACAUUCCAUACAUCGAGAGAAUGAUUCAUUGGGUCUUUGACGAAACUGAAAAAUGUCAUUCCUAAACUU